This 608-nucleotide long non-coding RNA is filed under the name Mytilus galloprovincialis (Mediterranean mussel). Lineage: Eukaryota; Metazoa; Mollusca; Bivalvia; Mytilida; Mytilidae. The record is from RNAcentral.
GUCUGUAUUUUACCCUUAUUAUUUUAAAAUAUCUUUUUUGCUUGUUAAAGUUAAAAAUCUCCAAACCAUGUAUUGAAAAUAUUGAAGACAUGCUUUUGCUGAAAAUUGUUCUUUUCAGGAGAGAGUUAUGAUGCUUCUAGACUUUAACAUCUGAAUUAAAAUUUACAGUUUUUCCAUGUGUUUAUUUUUAAAAUUUCAGAAUGUAAUUGAAAACCUCUAUAUCUCCAUUCAGAAAAUUUCUUCAUGUACAUGUACAUGUAUGGACGAGAGAAGAUGCCAAAUAAAAAUUUAACCAUAAUCAAUAUUGCAGACUCUGCAAGGGCUGUAUAGAGAGAUUGUUAAAAACUUCUAUCAUCACCAUCAAUAGGUUUCUUGGUUUUUAUAAAAAUACAAUUUAUAGUCAAAACAUUGUUUGUUUACACAAUAAACAUCAACAAAUCAAUAUACAUUCAGAAUUUUUUAAACAUUAAAAAUUCAGACAUAUCUUUUUCACAGAAAACAAUGAUAUAAUUUCUGAAUAAAAACAUCUAUUUUGAGGGUCACUUCUGGAGGUUGGUAUUCCAUGGGUUUCUUAAUGGUUUCCUUUUUCAAAAUGUGUGACUUAUAAU